Molecule: ribosomal RNA, 405 nt
Filed under: uncultured bacterium
Lineage: Bacteria
Description: partial 16S ribosomal RNA
Rfam family: Bacterial small subunit ribosomal RNA
Source: RNAcentral
AUUGAACGCUGGCGGCAGGCCUAACACAUGCAAGUCGAGCGAGCGGCGGACGGGUGAGUAAUGUCUGGGUAACUGCCUUAUGGAGGGGAUACCGACUGCAAACGGUAGCUAAUACCGCAUACCAUCAGAUGUGCCCAGAUGGGAUGAGCUAGUAGGUGGGGUAACGGCUCACCUCGGCGACGAUCCCUGGCUGGUCUGAGAGGAUGACAAGCCACACGGGAACUGAGACACGGUCCAGACGCCUACGGGAGGCAGCAGUGGGGAAUAGUGCACUAUGGGCUCAAGCCUGAUGCAGCCAUGCCGCGUGUGUGAAGAAGGCCUUCGGGUUGUAAAGUACUUUCAGCGGGGAGGCGUUACCCGCAGAAGAAGCACCGGCUAACUCCGUGCCAGCCGCCGCGGUAAUUC